RNAcentral lists this ribosomal RNA (486 nucleotides) under uncultured bacterium. RNAcentral describes it as "partial 16S ribosomal RNA". It matches the Rfam family "Bacterial small subunit ribosomal RNA", at positions 28 to 507 of the family's 1533-position model. The record is from RNAcentral.
GAUGAACGCUGGCGGCGUGCCUAAUACAUGCAAGUCGAACGCUGGAAAUCUAGCUUGCUAGAUUGAAGGAGUGGCGAACGGGUGAGUAAUACAUAAGCAACCUACCCACGAAGACUGGGAUAAUCUCUGGAAACGGGGACUAAUACCGGAUAGGUAAUCGGAAGGCAUCUUCUGAUUAUUAAAGGUUAAAAACACUGGUGGAUGGGCUUAUGGCGCAUUAGUUAGUUGGUGAGGUAACGGCCCACCAAGACGAUGAUGCGUAGCCGGCCUGAGAGGGUGAACGGCCACAUUGGGACUGAGACACGGCCCAGACUCCUACGGGAGGCAGCAGUAGGGGAUUUUCGGCAAUGGGGGAAACCCUGACCGAGCAACGCCGCGUGAGUGAUGACGGCCUUCGGGUUGUAAAGCUCUGUUGUAAGGGAAGAACGGUAGAUAGAGAAUAUCUAAAUGACGGUACCUUACCAGAAAGCCACGGCUAACUACGUG